GAGUUUGAUCUUGGCUCAGAUUGAACGCUGGCGGCAUGCCUUACACAUGCAAGUCGAACGGCAGCACGGGAGCUUGCUCCUGGUGGCGAGUGGCGAACGGGUGAGUAAUGCAUCGGAACGUAUCCUGGAGUGGGGGAUAACGUAGCGAAAGUUACGCUAAUACCGCAUAUUCUGUGAGCAGGAAAGCGGGGGACCUUCGGGCCUCGCGCUCUUGGAGCGGCCGAUGUCGGAUUAGCUAGUUGGUGAGGUAAAGGCUCACCAAAGGCGACGAUCCGUAGCAGGUCUGAGAGGAUGAUCUGCCACACUGGAACUGAGACACGGUCCAGACUCCUACGGGAGGCAGCAGUGGGAAUUUUGGACAAUGGGGGCAACCCUGAUCCAGCCAUGCCGCGUGAGUGAAGAAGGGCCC
Molecule: ribosomal RNA, 409 nt
Filed under: bacterium enrichment culture clone ALO1_GLFRUDD03GYH2D
Lineage: Bacteria
Description: bacterial SSU rRNA
Rfam family: Bacterial small subunit ribosomal RNA
Source: RNAcentral